This 2809-nucleotide ribosomal RNA is filed under the name Staphylococcus aureus. Its description in RNAcentral is "partial 23S ribosomal RNA". It matches the Rfam family "Bacterial large subunit ribosomal RNA". Lineage: Bacteria; Bacillati; Bacillota; Bacilli; Caryophanales; Staphylococcaceae. The record is from RNAcentral. RNAcentral also lists the same sequence under 2 other names.
CGAAUGGGGAAACCCAGCAUGAGUUAUGUCAUGUUAUCGAUAUGUGAAUACAUAGCAUAUCAGAAGGCACACCCGGAGAACUGAAACAUCUUAGUACCCGGAGGAAGAGAAAGAAAAUUCGAUUCCCUUAGUAGCGGCGAGCGAAACGGGAAGAGCCCAAACCAACAAGCUUGCUUGUUGGGGUUGUAGGACACUCUAUACGGAGUUACAAAGGACGACAUUAGACGAAUCAUCUGGAAAGAUGAAUCAAAGAAGGUAAUAAUCCUGUAGUCGAAAAUGUUGUCUCUCUUGAGUGGAUCCUGAGUACGACGGAGCACGUGAAAUUCCGUCGGAAUCUGGGAGGACCAUCUCCUAAGGCUAAAUACUCUCUAGUGACCGAUAGUGAACCAGUACCGUGAGGGAAAGGUGAAAAGCACCCCGGAAGGGGAGUGAAAUAGAACCUGAAACCGUGUGCUUACAAGUAGUCAGAGCCCGUUAAUGGGUGAUGGCGUGCCUUUUGUAGAAUGAACCGGCGAGUUACGAUUUGAUGCAAGGUUAAGCAGUAAAUGUGGAGCCGUAGCGAAAGCGAGUCUGAAUAGGGCGUUUAGUAUUUGGUCGUAGACCCGAAACCAGGUGAUCUACCCUUGGUCAGGUUGAAGUUCAGGUAACACUGAAUGGAGGACCGAACCGACUUACGUUGAAAAGUGAGCGGAUGAACUGAGGGUAGCGGAGAAAUUCCAAUCGAACCUGGAGAUAGCUGGUUCUCUCCGAAAUAGCUUUAGGGCUAGCCUCAAGUGAUGAUUAUUGGAGGUAGAGCACUGUUUGGACGAGGGGCCCCUCUCGGGUUACCGAAUUCAGACAAACUCCGAAUGCCAAUUAAUUUAACUUGGGAGUCAGAACAUGGGUGAUAAGGUCCGUGUUCGAAAGGGAAACAGCCCAGACCACCAGCUAAGGUCCCAAAAUAUAUGUUAAGUGGAAAAGGAUGUGGCGUUGCCCAGACAACUAGGAUGUUGGCUUAGAAGCAGCCAUCAUUUAAAGAGUGCGUAAUAGCUCACUAGUCGAGUGACACUGCGCCGAAAAUGUACCGGGGCUAAACAUAUUACCGAAGCUGUGGAUUGUCCUUUGGACAAUGGUAGGAGAGCGUUCUAAGGGCGUUGAAGCAUGAUCGUAAGGACAUGUGGAGCGCUUAGAAGUGAGAAUGCCGGUGUGAGUAGCGAAAGACGGGUGAGAAUCCCGUCCACCGAUUGACUAAGGUUUCCAGAGGAAGGCUCGUCCGCUCUGGGUUAGUCGGGUCCUAAGCUGAGGCCGACAGGCGUAGGCGAUGGAUAACAGGUUGAUAUUCCUGUACCACCUAUAAUCGUUUUAAUCGAUGGGGGGACGCAGUAGGAUAGGCGAAGCGUGCGAUUGGAUUGCACGUCUAAGCAGUAAGGCUGAGUAUUAGGCAAAUCCGGUACUCGUUAAGGCUGAGCUGUGAUGGGGAGAAGACAUUGUGUCUUCGAGUCGUUGAUUUCACACUGCCGAGAAAAGCCUCUAGAUAGAAAAUAGGUGCCCGUACCGCAAACCGACACAGGUAGUCAAGAUGAGAAUUCUAAGGUGAGCGAGCGAACUCUCGUUAAGGAACUCGGCAAAAUGACCCCGUAACUUCGGGAGAAGGGGUGCUCUUUAGGGUUAACGCCCAGAAGAGCCGCAGUGAAUAGGCCCAAGCGACUGUUUAUCAAAAACACAGGUCUCUGCUAAACCGUAAGGUGAUGUAUAGGGGCUGACGCCUGCCCGGUGCUGGAAGGUUAAGAGGAGUGGUUAGCUUCUGCGAAGCUACGAAUCGAAGCCCCAGUAAACGGCGGCCGUAACUAUAACGGUCCUAAGGUAGCGAAAUUCCUUGUCGGGUAAGUUCCGACCCGCACGAAAGGCGUAACGAUUUGGGCACUGUCUCAACGAGAGACUCGGUGAAAUCAUAGUACCUGUGAAGAUGCAGGUUACCCGCGACAGGACGGAAAGACCCCGUGGAGCUUUACUGUAGCCUGAUAUUGAAAUUCGGCACAGCUUGUACAGGAUAGGUAGGAGCCUUUGAAACGUGAGCGCUAGCUUACGUGGAGGCGCUGGUGGGAUACUACCCUAGCUGUGUUGGCUUUCUAACCCGCACCACUUAUCGUGGUGGGAGACAGUGUCAGGCGGGCAGUUUGACUGGGGCGGUCGCCUCCUAAAAGGUAACGGAGGCGCUCAAAGGUUCCCUCAGAAUGGUUGGAAAUCAUUCAUAGAGUGUAAAGGCAUAAGGGAGCUUGACUGCGAGACCUACAAGUCGAGCAGGGUCGAAAGACGGACUUAGUGAUCCGGUGGUUCCGCAUGGAAGGGCCAUCGCUCAACGGAUAAAAGCUACCCCGGGGAUAACAGGCUUAUCUCCCCCAAGAGUUCACAUCGACGGGGAGGUUUGGCACCUCGAUGUCGGCUCAUCGCAUCCUGGGGCUGUAGUCGGUCCCAAGGGUUGGGCUGUUCGCCCAUUAAAGCGGUACGCGAGCUGGGUUCAGAACGUCGUGAGACAGUUCGGUCCCUAUCCGUCGUGGGCGUAGGAAAUUUGAGAGGAGCUGUCCUUAGUACGAGAGGACCGGGAUGGACAUACCUCUGGUGUACCAGUUGUCGUGCCAACGGCAUAGCUGGGUAGCUAUGUGUGGACGGGAUAAGUGCUGAAAGCAUCUAAGCAUGAAGCCCCCCUCAAGAUGAGAUUUCCCAACUUCGGUUAUAAGAUCCCUCAAAGAUGAUGAGGUUAAUAGGUUCGAGGUGGAAGCAUGGUGACAUGUGGAGCUGACGAAUACUAAUCGAUCGAAGACUUAAUCAA